AACGAACGCUGGCGGCAUGCCUAACACAUGCAAGUCGAACGAGACCUUCGGGUCUAGUGGCGCACGGGUGCGUAACGCGUGGGAACCUGCCCUUAGGUUCGGAAUAACUCCCCGAAAGGGGUGCUAAUACCGGAUAAUGUCUGCUGACCAAAGAUUUAUCGCCUUUGGAUGGGCCCGCGUUGGAUUAGCUAGUUGGUAGUGUAAAAGCCUACCAAGGCGACGAUCCAUAGCUGGUCUGAGAGGAUGAUCAGCCACACUGGGACUGAGACACGGCCCAGACUCCUACGGGAGGCAGCAGUGGGGAAUAUUGGACAAUGGGCGAAAGCCUGAUCCAGCAAUGCCGCGUGAGUGAUGAAGGCCUUAGGGUUGUAAAGCUCUUUUACCCGGGAUGAUAAUGACAGUACCGGGAGAAUAAGCUCCGGCUAACUCCGUG
This 433-nucleotide ribosomal RNA is filed under the name uncultured bacterium. RNAcentral's name for it is "partial 16S ribosomal RNA". It matches the Rfam family "Bacterial small subunit ribosomal RNA", at positions 29 to 507 of the family's 1533-position model. The record is from RNAcentral.